AUGACAAAUGGAAAUUCUUAUGGGGCCAGGAAUGUUUUAGUACCAAGAAGGCCCGAGCACGACGCGGCCCGUGCCGUGCUGGCCCGACCCGGCCCAAGUCUCAGUACUACCCACCACCCUCCGAAUCAGAUCAUCAUCACUCUCGAACUCUGCCGUAGUGUAGCACAGCACACUCCCGCGGUCCCACCAGCUCAACUCAAGUCGGUAGAUCCGUCCAGCCGCCAGCGCCCCCACGCCAUUCUCCGCCGACGAGAGCUCCGCCGCAGAUUUGCUCCCCCGGAUCUGCUGCCGAGAUGCUGGUCAGUAUUCACCAAUCAUACAAUUUGGGAGCAAGAUUUGGUGAAGUUUUCUCCGGUUUGCCUGGAGGAUUAUGUUUUCCGCCUCGCCCGGGAUAGAGAAGCCAAGAAAGAAGGUUUCAGGAAGUAUCUUGAAUCCAGCGGCGUGCUCGAUACUCUCACGAAAGCUCUUGUUGCGUUGUAUGAGGAGAACGACAAGCCAUCAUCUGCAGUCGAGUUUGUUCAGCAGAAAUUGGGUGGUCCAUCGAUUUCCGACUAUGAAAAGCUCAAAGCCGAGAAGUUGGAUUUGCAACUGAAGUAUAAUGAGCUUUUAGAGACUCACAAGGAAACAAGUAGACAGCUAUUUACAUGGGAGUCUCAGCUUCUAAUGCAUAUUUGGAUAUCAUAA
RNAcentral lists this ribosomal RNA (684 nucleotides) under Triticum aestivum (bread wheat). Its description in RNAcentral is "partial small subunit ribosomal RNA". The record is from RNAcentral. Lineage: Eukaryota; Viridiplantae; Streptophyta; Magnoliopsida; Poales; Poaceae.